This 475-nucleotide ribosomal RNA is filed under the name uncultured bacterium. Its description in RNAcentral is "bacterial SSU rRNA". It matches the Rfam family "Bacterial small subunit ribosomal RNA", at positions 355 to 842 of the family's 1533-position model. The record is from RNAcentral.
UGGGGAAUCUUGCACAAUGGGCGAAAGCCUGAUGCAGCAACGCCGCGUGCGGGAAGACAGCCCUAGGGUUGUAAACCGCUUUCAGCAGGGAAGAAACUGACGGUACCUGCAGAAGAAGAUGCGGCCAACUACGUGCCAGCAGCCGCGGUGACACGUAGGCAUCAAGCGUUAUCCGGAUUUAUUGGGCGUAAAGAGCUCGUAGGCGGUUCGGUAAGUCGGGUGUGAAAACUCUGGGCUCAACCCAGAGAGGCCACUCGAUACUGCUGUGACUAGAGUGCGGUAGGGGAGCGGGGAAUUCCUGGUGUAGCGGUGAAAUGCGCAGAUAUCAGGAGGGAACACCAGUGGCGAAGGCGCCGCUCUGGGCCGUAACUGACGCUGAGGAGCGAAAGCAUGGGUAGCAAACAGGAUUAGAUACCCUGGUAGUCCAUGCCGUAAACGUUGGGCACUAGGUGUGGGUCUCAACCGAACGAGAUCC